CAUCCCCCUUCACAUCACUUGCCCCAUUUACAUAUAAAAAAAGUGUGGUUAUGUCCCUCUCACGAACCUGAAUGUUCCUCUGUCACGUACCUUUAAACAAUCUCCUGAAAAUUAUGAGUAAGUGGUUGAAUGAAAAAUUGACGACAUUUAAAAACAAAAUCACUGGACCCCUGAUAAAACAUGAAAGGAUUUAUAGAGAGGCAGACAGUGUCGGAGUGUUUCGUUGCUGAAAUCUCUAAGCAUCAGAAGCCCAAAGCCCCCAGGAAUGGAAAAUCCAUGGAGAUGAAAUACUAAAAAAAAUCCUUCCAAUUCCCUAAAAUCAGAACUAAAAAAGCUGGCGAAAUCUCCGAAAAAUGAAGAGACAGAUAACAGAUAACUGGCAGGAGACGUUCGAGCUCUCCAGUGGACGAAAUGGGCUGCCACAAAAGUGCUCGGACGAAAAAGCGAGUCUUUCAGAUUUUCGAUUCCAGUUGCUGCUAGAUCUUGUGUUGAUCAGUCAAACAAAGGAUUAGGUGACAUACGCAGGUAUGGAGAGACUCCAAAAUUAUGGGUGUCCUCCGGAUCUUCUGAUCAAGACUCCUGACAAUCUAAAUUGGAGGAUUGGUUGGAGUAAAACAAAUAACAGCAGAAAAAAAUUGACGAAGAAGGCGCAGUUUAAGCAGGAGAGACCUAUGAACAAAAUCAAGGGUCAGACCAAAAAGAAACUAACAAUAGAAAUUAAUAGAAAAAUCUGUACUUUAUUUUGUAAAUAAAAUCAUUUCAUAUCAA
Diachasma alloeum is the source of this 768-nucleotide long non-coding RNA. RefSeq lists it as uncharacterized. The transcript is spliced from 2 exons. NCBI's taxonomy places the organism in Eukaryota, Metazoa, Arthropoda, Insecta, Hymenoptera, Braconidae. The record is from RefSeq and is a predicted model, not a curated record.